AUAUACCUAGUUUAAUAAGAAUAAUAGUUUGUCGUACUAUAGGUGUGAUUGAUUCUCGGGAUAUG
RNAcentral lists this transfer RNA (65 nucleotides) under Diplostomum spathaceum. RNAcentral's name for it is "tRNA-Asp". The record is from RNAcentral. Lineage: Eukaryota; Metazoa; Platyhelminthes; Trematoda; Diplostomida; Diplostomidae.